UCCUGGCUCAGGAUGAAAACGCUGGCGGCGUGCCUAACACAUGCAAAGUCGAGCGAUUUACUUCGGUAAAGAGCGGCGGACGGGUGAGUAACGCGUGGGUAACCUGCCCUGUACACACGGAUAACAUACCGAAAGGUAUGCUAAUACGAGAUAAAAUACUUUUAUCGCAUGGUAGAAGUAUCAAAGCUUUUGCGGUACAGGAUGGACCCGCGUCUGAUUAGCUAGUUGGUAAGGUAACGGCUUACCAAGGCGACGAUCAGUAGCCGACCUGAGAGGGUGAUCGGCCACAUUGGAACUGAGACACGGUCCAAACUCCUACGGGAGGCAGCAGUGGGGAAUAUUGCACAAUGGGCGAAAGCCUGAUGCAGCAACGCCGCGUGAGCGAUGAAGGCCUUCGGGUCGUAAAGCUCUGUCCUCAAGGAAGAUAAUGACGGGUACUUGAGGAGGAAGCCCCGGGCUAACUACGUGCCAGCAGCCGCGGGUAAUACUAGAGACACGACGAC
This 503-nucleotide ribosomal RNA is filed under the name Clostridium sp. ARIAKE1105. Its description in RNAcentral is "bacterial SSU rRNA". It matches the Rfam family "Bacterial small subunit ribosomal RNA", at positions 17 to 539 of the family's 1533-position model. The record is from RNAcentral. Lineage: Bacteria; Bacillati; Bacillota; Clostridia; Eubacteriales; Clostridiaceae.